RNAcentral lists this unclassified non-coding RNA (226 nucleotides) under plant metagenome. Its description in RNAcentral is "partial contains small subunit ribosomal RNA and internal transcribed spacer 1". The stretch from base 1 to 46 matches the Rfam family "Eukaryotic small subunit ribosomal RNA", at positions 1786 to 1831 of the family's 1831-position model. The record is from RNAcentral.
AAGUCGUAGCAAGGUUUCCGUAGGUGAACCUGCGGAAGGAUCAUUAAUAGUAUAUGGAAUCUCCAUUCUAUUAAACCCACUCUGUGUAUCUUGUAACUGUUGCUUUCCAUGGGACUUGGUACCUGCCACACCGGCUUCACGGCUGGUUGAGCGCCCAAUGGGAGGAGAAACAAAACUCUUCUUUGAAAUGUAGUCAGUCUGAACAAGUUUUUUAUAAACGUUAAAA